UUUGUACUCCCUUCGUCCCAAAAAUUUUGUCUUAAAUUUAUCUAAAAACGGAUGUAUCAAAAUAUUGAAACGUGACUAGAUACAUUCAUAUCUAGACAAAUCUAAGACAAAAAUUUUAAGACGGAGGAAGUAUGAU
Non-coding RNA from Hordeum vulgare subsp. vulgare (domesticated barley), 136 nucleotides. NCBI's taxonomy places the organism in Eukaryota, Viridiplantae, Streptophyta, Magnoliopsida, Poales, Poaceae. The record is from Rfam.